This 1162-nucleotide long non-coding RNA is filed under the name Salvator merianae (Argentine black and white tegu). Its description in RNAcentral is "lncRNA (ENSSMRG00000017778.1)". The record is from RNAcentral. Lineage: Eukaryota; Metazoa; Chordata; Lepidosauria; Squamata; Teiidae.
CGUCAACCAAGUAGUUCUCCAGGUCUCAUUACCACCCAACCGCCACGGUUUUCGGGGCCUGGGAAAUGGCCUUCUUGGACACGAUUUCCGGCGAGCAGACUUCCAUGAGUGCCAAGGGAAGCAGCUGGCAGAGGGAGAAUUUCAGGGGUGAAGAAACCUCCGGGUUCCAGAGCAGGGACCAAAUUGAGCAGUGUGGAGACGCUGAAGCAGGGCACACCUGGUGACAGGUAGAAGGACCAUCACAAAUGGCAGCUCAAUUUCUUCCGCUGCCCAAAGACCACGAGGGAAGCAAACCUCUGGAUACGAGCUGCAAACAUCGACCGGAUGUUUUCUCCAGGGAAGGGGCUGAAAAAAAAAGAAAACUGGGGACUGUCUAAGACUUUUGCCAAGCAGACUUUUUUGGAAAGAUCUGUUUAAACAGAGGUGAUAACUGAGUCCAGGGCGGCAGCGAGGGUAUAAAAAGGUCAAACUCUGUUGCCCUUUGGCUAACACAGUUUUCACACAACACACGCUGCCCUGACAGGCAGGUGCACCCUCUUGGGGCAGGAUCCGUGCAGCAGGCAGGCGGCCCAGCGAAAGGACGUCGGGAAAAUGUCCCAGGCUCUGUCUCACCCCUCUAGAGGAUCUAUAAUGCUUCUGAAGGCAACCGGAAAUAGACUCGGAAGUUGGGCGACUUUUACUGUACGUGGGCUGAGACUUUAUUAACGUCUGCUUUUAUUAAUGUCUGUGGGAGAAUCCUUGGAUCGUCAGGACACCAGUUGCUUACACCCUAUAUUUAUUUCACACCACCCAUUGCGUAAAAGAAAGUCAACUUUUCCAGAACGCUGGACGUUUUUGACAACAGUCUGAAUUUGGGCUGGAAACCAGACAAAAAAUACCCCAGUUCUGAGCAGGGCAAGAAUCCGAAAUCACGUCGCCUCUUUUUUGUCUUUCUUCCCAGCUAGAAUAGCAAAAGAUGGGGCUACCUACUCCCCCCAAAUUCUUCUCUGUCUCUCAAAAGCAAAAAUUCUAGUCUUGCACCCUCUGCUUGGCUUCCAGUGAAUAUAUUUUAAUUCACGCCUUCCGUGAGUUCUUGGCCUUUUGUGUUGCCUUCUGUCUUUCGGUCCCACAGACCCACACCUUAAAAAAAGGGGAGGGAAACUCUGGUUUGCGUUAGCUGCUU